CGCGGUAAUACGUAGGGUGCGAGCGUUAUCCGGAAUCAUUGGGCGUAAAGAGCUCGUAGGCGGUUCAGCAAGUCGGCUGUGAAAUUCUGGGGCUCAACCCCAGAACUGCAGUCGAUACUGCUGUGACUUGAGUCCGGUAGAGGAGAAUGGAAUUCCCGGUGUAGCGGUGGAAUGCGCAGAUAUCGGGAGGAACACCAGUAGCGAAGGCGGUUCUCUGGGCCGGCACUGACGCUGAGGAGCGAAAGCGUGGGGAGCAAACAGG
RNAcentral lists this ribosomal RNA (262 nucleotides) under uncultured bacterium. Its description in RNAcentral is "partial 16S ribosomal RNA". It matches the Rfam family "Bacterial small subunit ribosomal RNA", at positions 516 to 776 of the family's 1533-position model. The record is from RNAcentral.